GUAAUGAGCGAUCUGUUUUUUCCUUUAGGAUCAAACAGACCAUACUGAGUCAGCAGGACUUUCCUGUGGCUGCUGUAUCAGUGGGACGUGUCCUCUGCAGGAAGGUGCCUGGCUGCAGCCCCCUCCACUGUGGCUCUGCUCCAAGGACUCCUCAGUGAGUCCUAGCAGAACACGGCUAAGGAAAGCAGAGAGGGAGGCUGGUGGUGCAGCAGGCAUCAUGAAUAAGCACAGAGAAGUCUGUCCUUUAUCACAUUCAUAAGGAGAAAAAGGUAAGAAAACCAAUGUUCUUAUUUUUCUUUGAUUGGACUU
This 309-nucleotide long non-coding RNA is filed under the name Marmota monax (woodchuck). Lineage: Eukaryota; Metazoa; Chordata; Mammalia; Rodentia; Sciuridae. The record is from RNAcentral.